GAACUCUACUGACUAGUUUUUUCUUCUCUUGCAGCCACAGAACGUAUGUACAUUGGUGGUCAGCUUUGAGUUGUGUUCAAGUCCAAGAGAAGAGUCUGAGCAGCUCCAAAGUGCGGACCGUUGCAAACACCGUUACAAAACUCAGGAAAACAGAUAACAACAUCUUCCUUCCCCAAAUCAGUCGUGUUGUCAGUGAGUCAUCAGGUUGCCCCGUUUACCUCACUGAAACGCUUGCCAAGCUCGGGGCGCACUUACAUAAGCCCCCACUUCAAAUGAAUCAAGUUGAAAGCGUACGAGGAGCACAAGCCUUUACAGGAAGGAAUCCUUCAAGAGAAAGAGUUUCCAGAGCUGACAGGUUUUUCAGAGAGUCUAAUGAAGCAACUGGCUGUGAUCCAGACAGUUUCUAAAACUUUAGGAAGGAGGAGACAAUGUAGGUUUACCAGCAGACUUUACGAAGUACUUUGACCUGUGUGGCUGCUCUGCUCAGGUUCUGAGAAUAUCGCUUACAGAUCUUUGGCUCACUACAGACACUGGCUCCAGCGAGUCCAGACAACAGCCAAGGGAGGCGUGGGCGCUCUCACUCCAUCAGACGUAAACAGACGUCCUCUCCAGCGCCUGAUGACAUCGGCAGAGUGUCGCCCACUGGCGUUCCUCUACUCAUGUUCUUUCACCUGGAUUUCAGUGUUUGAUUGACAAAACGUCCCAUUGAUGAGGUGAAUUAAAACCCAAAAUCUACAGACAAAAUCUGUGAUUUCAAGACCAUGAACAACAACCUCACAGCCUAAUUCUGUUUCUUGAUAUGGAUGGUAUGGUUGGUCUGAAUCAUUUGUCAAAGCCUAAGAGUAAUUUUACCGUAACUUGACUGUUUACACAUCCAACAAUAUGCACAUCACUCCUGCAAGAAAUCUAAACAAAAACAAACCUUUCCUGCAAAUUGUUCACAUUCUCACCCUGAGGGUUCAUUCAUAUUUUGAAAUAUGACAUUUUGAGGGACAUCCUCAAACCUUGAAGUUUCAGCAAUUUAUAGUGUCAGUGGUUUGAAUGUUGUUUAACAUGCUGUGUUAGCUCUUCUCUGUUAGCAUUUCAGUUUUCUCUGGUCUGCAUUGCAAAGCCUUUGAGCCUCUCACAUGCAAAUUACACUUCAUGGGAAUGGUUAUGUGAAGCAAAAUAACAGAUGCAAUACUUUUCUUUAAAGUACAUUGGCAGAUUGUUUUAAGGAUUUUUCCUGUUAUUACAACCAGAUGUGAUGUGUGUAAUACUAGGUCAAAUAAUAUUUGGUCUGUGAGUGAGUGAGAAUAUAUGGAGAUGAUUUAAACGGAACAAAUAUACA
Molecule: long non-coding RNA, 1330 nt
Organism: Siniperca chuatsi (mandarin fish)
Lineage: Eukaryota; Metazoa; Chordata; Actinopteri; Centrarchiformes; Sinipercidae
Exons: 6
Source: RefSeq, a predicted model, not a curated record